AGUGAACGCUGGCGGUAGGCCUAAUACAUGCAAGUCGAACGGAAGCACAGUAAGAGUUUGCCCUUACGGGUGGCGGCGGGCGGGCGGGUGAGAAAUAGAUAGGAUUCCUAUUUUACGUGGGGGACAUCGUGAAGCAGGAUACAAUACCGCAGAAUAUGUUGAACGGCAUGGAGCAGGAGUGCAAGGCAGUCUUGCUGUCAGUUUGAGAUGGUGCCGCAUUAGCUAGUUGGCGAGGUAAAGGCCUACCAAGGCAACGAUACGUAGCUGAUCUGAGAGGAUGAUCAGCCACACUGGAACUGAGACACGGUCCAGACUCCUACGGGAGGCAGCAGUAGGGAAUAUUGCGCAAUGGGCGCAAGCCUGACCCAGCCAUGCCGCGUGAGUGAAGAAGGCCUUCGGAUUGUAAAACCCUGUUGUUGGGAAAGAAAAUCAGCAUAAUUAACCCCCGCCAUUCUGACGGUACCUAAAGAGUAAGCACCGGCUAACUUCGUG
Molecule: ribosomal RNA, 492 nt
Filed under: uncultured bacterium
Lineage: Bacteria
Description: partial 16S ribosomal RNA
Rfam family: Bacterial small subunit ribosomal RNA
Source: RNAcentral